AACGAACGCUGGCGGCAGGCCUAACACAUGCAAGUCGAGCGCGCCCUUCGGGGUGAGCGGCGGACGGGUGAGUAACGCGUGGGAACGUGCCCUUCUCUGCGGAAUAGCCUCGGGAAACUGAGAGUAAUACCGCAUACGCCCUUUGGGGGAAAGAUUUAUCGGAGAAGGAUCGGCCCGCGUUGGAUUAGGUAGUUGGUGGGGUAAUGGCCCACCAAGCCGACGAUCCAUAGCUGGUUUGAGAGGAUGAUCAGCCACACUGGGACUGAGACACGGCCCAGACUCCUACGGGAAGCAGCAGUGGGGAAUCUUAGACAAGGGGGGCAACCCUGAUCUAGCCAUGCCGCGUGAGUGAUGAAGGCCUUAGGGUUGUAAAGCUCUUUCAGCUGGGAAGAUAAUGACGGUACCAGCAGAAGAAGCCCCGGCUAACUCCGUG
RNAcentral lists this ribosomal RNA (433 nucleotides) under uncultured bacterium. RNAcentral's name for it is "partial 16S ribosomal RNA". It matches the Rfam family "Bacterial small subunit ribosomal RNA", at positions 29 to 507 of the family's 1533-position model. The record is from RNAcentral.